This 103-nucleotide ribosomal RNA is filed under the name Stegnogramma sagittifolia. RNAcentral describes it as "4.5S ribosomal RNA". The record is from RNAcentral. Lineage: Eukaryota; Viridiplantae; Streptophyta; Polypodiopsida; Polypodiales; Thelypteridaceae.
UAAGGUCACGGCAAGACGAGCCGUUUAUAACCACGAUAGGUGCUAAGUGGAGAUGCAGUAAUGUAUGCAGCUGAGGCAUCCUAAUAGACCGAGAGGUUUGAAC